Molecule: transfer RNA, 65 nt
Filed under: Ochrogaster lunifer (bag-shelter moth)
Lineage: Eukaryota; Metazoa; Arthropoda; Insecta; Lepidoptera; Notodontidae
Description: transfer RNA-Tyr
Rfam family: tRNA
About the family: Transfer RNA (tRNA) molecules are approximately 80 nucleotides in length. Their secondary structure includes four short double-helical elements and three loops (D, anti-codon, and T loops). Further hydrogen bonds mediate the characteristic L-shaped molecular structure. tRNAs have two regions of fundamental functional importance: the anti-codon, which is responsible for specific mRNA codon recognition, and the 3' end, to which the tRNAs corresponding amino acid is attached (by aminoacyl-tRNA synthetases). tRNAs cope with the degeneracy of the genetic code in two manners: having more than one tRNA (with a specific anti-codon) for a particular amino acid; and 'wobble' base-pairing, i.e. permitting non-standard base-pairing at the 3rd anti-codon position.
Source: RNAcentral
AAUAAAAUGGCUGAGGGUAGGCGAUAAAUUGUAAAUUUAUUUACGAAAAUUAUUUUCUUUUAUUA